CUCCAGACUCCUACGGGAGGCAGCAGUGAGGAAUAUUGGCCAAUGGGCGGAAGCCUGAACCAGCCAAGUCGCGUGAGGGAAUAAGGCCCUACGGGUCGUAAACCUCUUUUGCCGGGGAGCAAGGGCGGGGACGUGUCCCGGCCCGGAGAGUACCCGGAGAAAAAGCAUCGGCUAACUCCGUGCCAGCAGCCGCGGUAAUACGGGGGGUGCAAGCGUUGUCCGGAAUCAUUGGGCGUAAAGCGUUCGUAGGCGGUAUGUCAAGUCUGAUGUUAAAGCCCGGGGCUCAACUCCGGUUCGGCAUUGGAUACUGGCAAACUAGAAUGUGGUAGAGGUAAAGGGAAUUCCUGGUGUAGCGGUGAAAUGCGUGGAUAUCAGGAGGAACAUCGGUGGCGAAAGCGCUUUACUGGACCAUUAUUGACGCUGAGGAACGAAAGCCAGGGGAGCAAAUGGGAUUAGAUACCCGCGUAC
This 468-nucleotide ribosomal RNA is filed under the name uncultured bacterium. RNAcentral describes it as "bacterial SSU rRNA". It matches the Rfam family "Bacterial small subunit ribosomal RNA", at positions 329 to 793 of the family's 1533-position model. The record is from RNAcentral.